AUAUGAGGUUAGGGAAGUUCAUCAGCAUUCUUCGGUGUUUGCUGGCUUUGUUUGUCCUUAUAGAGGGGAUGGUUCUGAGGGUUGUACAGAAUUGGGGGUGAGGUUGGGGUGCUGAGUGGGGAGAUACUUGGUUCUAGAGCACAGUAUGCACUGAUGUGCACUUUUUCUAACAUCCUCAUUUCCUUCUGCAGACUUCAGUUUCUGAAUAUAUUACCUUUAACCCACCUGGCAAACUAACAUGAGGAAAAACAAAAUGACAAGUGAAGAAGCAAAAAUGAGUUUAUACGGCAUUUAUACCUUCUGAUACUACUUGAAUUUUCUAAGUCCUGUUCACUUCAGGGACAAGGCUUAAGCAUCCUUUCCUUUUUGCUUUCCCCUGUUGGUCUGCUUGAUUUCUUAUCUCUUGUGGUGGUUUGGCUGAGAAAUGCCUACAAUAGGGUCGCAUAUUUGAACACUUGGUCCUCAGCUUGGUGGCCCUGUUUGUGGAGGUUGUAGAGCCUUUAGAGAUGGCGCCAGCCUUGCUGAAGGAAGUAUGGCAUUGGGGGAAGGUUUUGAGAGUCAUAGCCUUGCCGCACUUCCGGUUAACUCUUCACUUCCUGUUUCCGGCUGAAGUUGGUACCGCAUAGCUUCCUGUUCAGGUUACCUGGUGUCAUGCCUCCCUACUACUGUGGACUCUUUCUCUGAAACUGGUAAAGUGGUAUGGAUUUGCCAGCCAUCUGCCUUUAAGCCAUUCAACGGCAAUGUACAUGAAUUCUUUCCAUCUUUAAAGGUGUGUUGUCUCCAUGCAUGUCCACACACCACAUGUAUGCCUGGACCCCCUGGAACUACCACUAAAGAUGACUGUGAGAUCUGGCAUAUAGAUGCUGGGAAUCCAACCUGGGUCCUCUGAAGAACAGCCAGUGCUCUUAAAGCUGAGCCAUCUCUCUAGCCCCUUACUCUCAGUUCUGGAAAGGAUUCAUUAGCUGAGAUUUGAUUUCUUACUUGAGUAACAGUCAAAGGCUUGUUAAGCUUUUUGAACUCAGUUUUCUUUUGAUUGGAAAUUAAAAACAAUCACUUGUAUCUUUGUUAGACCUUGUGUUGGUUUUUACUUCUUUGAGAAAAUUCUUAAACAUUUGAGAAACAACUUAAUGGAAGAAAGACAGAUCUUGCCGUAGGGAUUCGGAGGGUUCGGUCCAUGGUCACUUGAUCUACUUUUGAGACUCUGAUGAGGCAAAGAGUCAUUGUGGCAGCAACAUGUGGCAGAAGAGGCAGCUCAUCUCAUGAUGGGUAAGGGACAGAAUGAUCAAAAGGGUCCAGGGACCAGAUAUACAUUUCAAAGGGAUGCCAGGUGUCAUCAUUUCUUCAACUGGGCCCCACAUCCUAACAGCCCAUUCAGCUCUGAACUCAUCAGCACAUCGAUCAUUUAAUGAUGUUAUCAAUUCCUGACCCAGUUCCCUCGCAGUUGCACCACCAACUGGAGACGCUAUCUCCAACACAUGAGCUCUUUGGGCAAAGACUUCAUAUCCAGGGCCUAACUGGUCUUGGUUUUCACUUUUAUUACAUUUGUUUCUUUGGGAUCCAGAUUUGCUUCCUAAUGAUGGGAGUUGUUGAUUAACAAUCUGAAAAUUAUAGCCAUUGUAUAUGUGGUAACCAGAAAGCAACACUAAGUGGGCAGUUAGUCCAUUGUGCAGCUCAAAUUAACUUUGUUUUGUUAAAGAAAAAUGCCGUACUUUUAUUUUUUCCUGUGUGUGAGAAGGAAAAGUCUCCAUCAUCCUUUUCCAGUUUUCUGUUGAUCUUAAAAAUUACCUUGUAGAAGGGGCUUCUGUCAGAUGCUCCAGGUUGGAUGACUUGCACUCUUCAAAAUCUACCAGUAUUUGCCAAGUUAAAUAUUGACAACAAACAGAACAAACAGGGUAUAUAUCGGUAUUGCUUUCCAAUUCCCCCGUGAUGCAUUUCAGUGUGAUAGGCAACAUAUUCUUUGGGGGAAGUGACACCCUGGGCAAGCAAAGACAUGGGCACAUAUCACAGCUGUUCAUUCUUCAAGGCCAUUAAUUCUUUUAAAGCAAAAAAAACAAAAAAAAAAAAAAAACAAAAAAAAAAUGAGUUCAUGUUUGAAUAACACAGAUUCUCAGCAUAUAACUCU
RNAcentral lists this small RNA (2122 nucleotides) under Rattus norvegicus (Norway rat). RNAcentral describes it as "uncharacterized LOC103695100". The record is from RNAcentral. Lineage: Eukaryota; Metazoa; Chordata; Mammalia; Rodentia; Muridae.